GGUUAAGCGACUAAGCGUACACGGUGGAUGCCCUGGCAGUCAGAGGCGAUGAAGGACGUGCUAAUCUGCGAAAAGCGUCGGUAAGGUGAUAUGAACCGUUAUAGCCGGCGAUGUCCGAAUGGGGAAACCCAGUGCAAUUCGUUGCACUAUCGUUAACUGAAUACAUAGGUUAACGAGGCGAACCGGGGGAACUGAAACAUCUAAGUACCCCGAGGAAAAGAAAUCAACCGAGAUUCCCCCAGUAGCGGCGAGCGAACGGGGAGCAGCCCAGAGUCUGAAUCAGCUUGUGUGUUAGUGGAACGGUCUGGAAAGUCCGACGGUACAGGGUGAUAGUCCCGUACACCAAAAUGCACAGGUUGUGAACUCGAAGAGUAGGGCGGGACACGUGGUAUCCUGUCUGAAUAUGGGGGGACCAUCCUCCAAGGCUAAAUACUCCUGACUGACCGAUAGUGAACCAGUACCGUGAGGGAAAGGCGAAAAGAACCCCGGCGAGGGGAGUGAAAAAGAACCUGAAACCGUGUACGUACAAGCAGUGGGAGCACCUUCGGGUGUGACUGCGUACCUUUUGUAUAAUGGGUCAGCGACUUAUAUUCUGUAGCAAGGUUAACCGUAUAGGGGAGCCGCAGGGAAACCGAGUCUUAACUGGGCGUUAAGUUGCAGGGUAUAGACCCGAAACCCGGUGAUCUAGCCAUGGGCAGGUUGAAGGUUGGGUAACACUAACUGGAGGACCGAACCGACUAAUGUUGAAAAAUUAGCGGAUGACUUGUGGCUGGGGGUGAAAGGCCAAUCAAACCGGGAGAUAGCUGGUUCUCCCCGAAAGCUAUUUAGGUAGCGCCUCGUGAAUUCAUCUUCGGGGGUAGAGCACUGUUUCGGCUAGGGGGUCAUCCCGACUUACCAACCCGAUGCAAACUACGAAUACCGAAGAAUGUUAUCACGGGAGACACACGGCGGGUGCUAACGUCCGUCGUGAAGAGGGAAACAACCCAGACCGCCAGCUAAGGUCCCAAAGUCAUGGUUAAGUGGGAAACGAUGUGGGAAGGCACAGACAGCCAGGAUGUUGGCUUAGAAGCAGCCAUCAUUUAAAGAAAGCGUAAUAGCUCACUGGUCGAGUCGGCCUGCGCGGAAGAUGUAACGGGGCUAAACCAUGCACCGAAGCUGCGGCAGCGACACUAUGUGUUGUUGGGUAGGGGAGCGUUCUGUAAGCCUGCGAAGGUGACCUGUGAGGGUUGCUGGAGGUAUCAGAAGUGCGAAUGCUGACAUAAGUAACGAUAAAGCGGGUGAAAAGCCCGCUCGCCGGAAGACCAAGGGUUCCUGUCCAACGUUAAUCGGGGCAGGGUGAGUCGACCCCUAAGGCGAGGCCGAAAGGCGUAGUCGAUGGGAAACAGGUUAAUAUUCCUGUACUUGGUGUUACUGCGAAGGGGGGACGGAGAAGGCUAUGUUAGCCGGGCGACGGUUGUCCCGGUUUAAGCAUGUAGGCUGGUUAUCCAGGCAAAUCCGGAUAAUCAAGGCUGAGGUGUGAUGACGAGGCACUACGGUGCUGAAGUAACAAAUGCCCUGCUUCCAGGAAAAGCCUCUAAGCAUCAGGUAACAUCAAAUCGUACCCCAAACCGACACAGGUGGUCAGGUAGAGAAUACCAAGGCGCUUGAGAGAACUCGGGUGAAGGAACUAGGCAAAAUGGUGCCGUAACUUCGGGAGAAGGCACGCUGGUGUGUAGGUGAAGUCCCUGCGGAUGGAGCUGAGACCAGUCGAAGAUACCAGCUGGCUGCAACUGUUUAUUAAAAACACAGCACUGUGCAAACACGAAAGUGGACGUAUACGGUGUGACGCCUGCCCGGUGCCGGAAGGUUAAUUGAUGGGGUUAUCCGUAAGGAGAAGCUCUUGAUCGAAGCCCCGGUAAACGGCGGCCGUAACUAUAACGGUCCUAAGGUAGCGAAAUUCCUUGUCGGGUAAGUUCCGACCUGCACGAAUGGCGUAAUGAUGGCCAGGCUGUCUCCACCCGAGACUCAGUGAAAUUGAACUCGCUGUGAAGAUGCAGUGUACCCGCGGCAAGACGGAAAGACCCCGUGAACCUUUACUAUAGCUUGACACUGAACAUUGAGCCUUGAUGUGUAGGAUAGGUGGGAGGCUUUGAAGCGUGGACGCCAGUCUGCGUGGAGCCAACCUUGAAAUACCACCCUUUAAUGUUUGAUGUUCUAACGUUGGCCCCUUACCGGGGUUGCGGACAGUGUCUGGUGGGUAGUUUGACUGGGGCGGUCUCCUCCCAAAGCGUAACGGAGGAGCACGAAGGUUAGCUAAUCCUGGUCGGACAUCAGGAGGUUAGUGCAAUGGCAUAAGCUAGCUUGACUGCGAGCGUGACGGCGCGAGCAGGUGCGAAAGCAGGUCAUAGUGAUCCGGUGGUUCUGAAUGGAAGGGCCAUCGCUCAACGGAUAAAAGGUACUCCGGGGAUAACAGGCUGAUACCGCCCAAGAGUUCAUAUCGACGGCGGUGUUUGGCACCUCGAUGUCGGCUCAUCACAUCCUGGGGCUGAAGUAGGUCCCAAGGGUAUGGCUGUUCGCCAUUUAAAGUGGUACGCGAGCUGGGUUUAGAACGUCGUGAGACAGUUCGGUCCCUAUCUGCCGUGGGCGCUGGAGAAUUGAGGGGGGCUGCUCCUAGUACGAGAGGACCGGAGUGGACGCAUCACUGGUGUUCGGGUUGUCAUGCCAAUGGCACUGCCCGGUAGCUAAAUGCGGAAGAGAUAAGUGCUGAAAGCAUCUAAGCACGAAACUUGCCCCGAGAUGAGUUCUCCCUGAGACUUUAAGUCUCCUGAAGGAACGUUAAAGACGAUGACGUUGAUAGGCCGGGUGUGUAAGCGCAGCGAUGCGUUGAGCUAACCGGUACUAAUGAACCGUGAGGCUUAACCUU
This 2902-nucleotide ribosomal RNA is filed under the name Klebsiella pneumoniae. RNAcentral describes it as "23S ribosomal RNA". It matches the Rfam family "Bacterial large subunit ribosomal RNA". Lineage: Bacteria; Pseudomonadati; Pseudomonadota; Gammaproteobacteria; Enterobacterales; Enterobacteriaceae. The record is from RNAcentral.